AGUGAACGCUGGCGGUAGGCCUAACACAUGCAAGUCGAACGGCAGCACAGUAAGAGCUUGCUCUUACGGGUGGCGAGUGGCGGACGGGUGAGGAAUACAUCGGAAUCUACUUUUUCGUGGGGGAUAACGUAGGGAAACUUACGCUAAUACCGCAUACGACCUACGGGUGAAAGCAGGGGAUCUUCGGACCUUGCGCGAUUGAAUGAGCCGAUGUCGGAUUAGCUAGUUGGCGGGGUAAAGGCCCACCAAGGUGACGAUCCGUAGCUGGUCUGUGAGGAUGAUCAGCCACACUGGAACUGAGACACGGUCCAGACUCCUACGGGAGGCAGCAGUGGGGAAUAUUGGACAAUGGGCGCAAGCCUGAUCCAGCCAUACCGCGUGGGUGAAGAAGGCCUUCGGGUUGUAAAGCCCUUUUGUUGGGAAAGAAAAGCAGCAGGUUAAUACCCCGCUGUUCUGACGGUACCCAAAGAAUAAGCACCGGCUAACCUCGUG
RNAcentral lists this ribosomal RNA (492 nucleotides) under uncultured bacterium. RNAcentral's name for it is "partial 16S ribosomal RNA". It matches the Rfam family "Bacterial small subunit ribosomal RNA", at positions 29 to 507 of the family's 1533-position model. The record is from RNAcentral.